This 445-nucleotide ribosomal RNA is filed under the name uncultured bacterium. RNAcentral describes it as "bacterial SSU rRNA". It matches the Rfam family "Bacterial small subunit ribosomal RNA", at positions 354 to 796 of the family's 1533-position model. The record is from RNAcentral.
GUAAGGAAUAUUGGUCAAUGGACGCAAGUCUGAACCAGCCAUGCCGCGUGGAGGAUGAAGGUCCUCUGGAUUGUAAACUUCUUUUAUCUGGGAAGAAACCCAUAGUUUCUACUGUGGUUGACGGUACCAGAUGAAUAAGCACCGGCUAACUCCGUGCCAGCAGCCGCGGUAAUACGGAGGGUGCAAGCGUUAUCCGGAUUCACUGGGUUUAAAGGGUGCGUAGGUGGGCAGGUAAGUCAGUGGUGAAAUCUCCGGGCUUAACCCGGAAACUGCCGUUGAUACUAUCUGUCUUGAAUAUCGUGGAGAUGAGCGGAAUAUGUCAUGUAGCGGUGAAAUGCUUAGAUAUGACAUAGAACACCGAUUGCGAAGGCAGCUCGUUACACGGUUAUUGACACUGAGGCACGAAAGCGUGGGGAUCAAACAGGAUUAGAAACCCGAGUAGUCC